This 488-nucleotide ribosomal RNA is filed under the name uncultured bacterium. Its description in RNAcentral is "bacterial SSU rRNA". It matches the Rfam family "Bacterial small subunit ribosomal RNA", at positions 28 to 526 of the family's 1533-position model. The record is from RNAcentral.
GACGAACGCUGGCGGCGUGCUUAACACAUGCAAGUCGAGCGGUAAGGCUCCUUCGGGGGUACACGAGCGGCGAACGGGUGAGUAACACGUGAGUAAUCUGCCCUUCACUCUGGGAUAAGCACUCGAAAGGGUGUCUAAUACCGGAUACGACGCACUCUCGCAUGGGAUGUGUGUGGAAACUUUUGUGGGUGGGGGAUGUGCUCGCGGCCUAUCAGCUUGUUGGUGGGGUAAUGGCCUACCAAGGCUUUGACGGGUAGCCGGCCUGAGAGGGUGACCGGCCACACUGGGACUGAGACACGGCCCAGACUCCUACGGGAGGCAGCAGUGGGGAAUAUUGGACAAUGGGCGGAAGCCUGAUCCAGCAACGCCGCGUGAGGGAUGACGGCCUUCGGGUUGUAAACCUCUUUCAGUAUCGACGAAGCCCUGGGGGGUGACGGUAGGUACAGAAGAAGCACCGGCCAACUACGUGCCAGCCGCCGCGGUAACAC